CUUUCACCCUCUCCCAGGUGGACUUCUAGUAAAUAUUGUGCUUGUAUCGAGCAUGGUAUAGAAGACAGAGCCUUGUGUGGCCAGGCCCAGGCAGACCAGUGCCCAACUACCCCAAGUGCUGCCCGGCAGCUAAGUGCUGCUGUAUAGUGAAUGCUUUGGGCAGCACAGAUCCACUCUGCAGUAAUGGAUGGGAAGUGUCUGUUGUGACUGAAACUAUCAAAAUAACUUACUUUACUUCUUCCAAGAUAGAACGAUCUGGAAAUGCAUGUUUCGGAGUGGUUUUGAUUUCCCUACAGCCUGGGAUGAGCACCGUUGCACUCCUUUUGCUGCCCUCGGUGGUGGCUGAGGGUCACAUUUCCAGCUGACAAGAGAGGCUUGAUGCAGAGGGAGAACUGGAAGCCAAACAUUUAGUACCAUACUGAAAGUACAUUAGGUAUGUGUCUAAAAUAACAAUUCCUAUGUCUAAUAGAACUGUGAUGUGAUAUCACUCAGAUCUUGUAUUAAUGUGGCCUGGCCAGUACACUCAUUAUACAAUGCCAAAAAAAAAAUCUGGUUGAAACUGCUCGUUUAAGAGAAGUCUGGAAGUCACCCAAGCCUACAUAUGACUGAGGCAGCAUCCCGCAACCUGGAGCUGACUUCAGGAGGGAGAGAAGGCCCAAUGGAGAAGAAGAGGGCACGAGGCUGGAGAUCAGCAUGAGCGGUGAACUCCUCUGCUUAGUUGCCUCGCUCCUAUGGGAAUGUUACAGAUCCCACACUCAUGCAAGGAAGUUUUCUGCCUUGGUGGAGAGGUAACUUAGAGUAGAAACAUGCUUUAUAGGGUCAUUUACAUUCAGCGGUAGCUGGAGGACUCACAUACAUAAAUGAGCCACAGGAACUUGAGGAGGAUGCCCCUAUUCUGGUGAUGGGAACAGCUGAUGUGAGUUCCUGGGCAGCAUCUCAGCUGUGAGAAUUGAGGCAUUACCAGGUGUGGAAGUUGUGAUGGGUGAUAGUCAAGCUUCUCCAGCUGGAAAGAAAAGACUGGCUUGUCACUACACUCCACUCUCUUUUACAAUCAACAGAAGAGCACCAGAAAUCCCAUCCACAUGUCUUCAAAGUACUUCCAGGUUAUCUACAAGAAGUAUAGUGGAAAGAAUGCUGAAUGCAGACUGUAGUGAAUGGGACAAGUCAUUUACUUGUCCACACAAGUGGAUACAAAUAAGAUACUGCACAGCAUAA
RNAcentral lists this long non-coding RNA (1215 nucleotides) under Numida meleagris (helmeted guineafowl). RNAcentral describes it as "lncRNA (ENSNMEG00000020617.1)". The record is from RNAcentral. Lineage: Eukaryota; Metazoa; Chordata; Aves; Galliformes; Numididae.